Molecule: unclassified non-coding RNA, 334 nt
Filed under: soil metagenome
Description: partial contains 5.8S ribosomal RNA, internal transcribed spacer 2, and large subunit ribosomal RNA
Rfam family: 5.8S ribosomal RNA (bases 1-120)
Source: RNAcentral
GAUGAAGAACGCAGCGAAAUGCGAUAAUUAAUGUGAAUUGCAGAAUUCAGUGAAUCAUCGAAUCUUUGAACGCACAUUGCGCCCGCCAGUAUUCUGGCGAGCAUGCCUGUUCGAGCGUCAUUUCAACCAUCAAGCCCCAGGCUUGUGUUGGAGCCCUGCGGCUGCCGCAGCCUCCCAAAACCAGUGGCGGGCUCGCUAUCACGCCGAGUGCAGUAGUUUACUCUUCGCUCAGGGCGUGUGGCGGGUGCUAGCCGUGAAACCCCCAACUUCUCAAGGUUGACCUCGGAUCAGGUAGGAAUACCCGCUGAACUUAAGCAUAUCAAUAAGCGGAGGA